GACGAACGCUGGCGGCGUGCCUAAUACAUGCAAGUCGAGCGAUGAUUAAAGAUAGCUUGCUAUUUUUAUGAAGAGCGGCGAACGGGUGAGUAACGCGUGGGAAAUCUGCCGAGUAGCGGGGGACAACGUUUGGAAACGAACGCUAAUACCGCAUAACAAUGAGAAUCGCAUGAUUCUUAUUUGAAAGAAGCAAUUGCUUCACUACUUGAUGAUCCCGCGUUGUAUUAGCUAGUUGGUAGUGUAAAGGACUACCAAGGCGAUGAUACAUAGCCGACCUGAGGAGGGGAUCGGCCACACUGGGACUGAGACACGGCCCAGACUCCUACGGGGGGCAGCAGUAGGGAAUCUUCGGCAAUGGGGGCAACCCUGACCGAGCAACGCCGCGUGAGUGAAGAAGGUCUUCGGAUCGUAAAACUCUGUUGUUAGAGAAGAACGUUAAGUAGAGUGGAAAAUUACUUAAGUGACGGUAUCUAACCAGAAAGGGACGGCUAACUACGUGCCAGCCGCCGCAGUAA
This 515-nucleotide ribosomal RNA is filed under the name uncultured bacterium. RNAcentral's name for it is "partial 16S ribosomal RNA". It matches the Rfam family "Bacterial small subunit ribosomal RNA", at positions 28 to 523 of the family's 1533-position model. The record is from RNAcentral.